AACCGUCCGUCGUCCAGGAUUUCUUCGGCCGGUUUUUUUCUCUGUUCAUCAGAUUGAGAAGGAUAACCCGGACGGAUGGAUGAGUCGGACCACAGCCAACCUGGACAUCGGAUUCCGAAUAAUAGCCAAUAACUCUACUCAUCAUCCUCCACUGAUUGAGGUCCCAGCCAUUCAACUUGACCGACACUAGUAAGGCACGUCAAAUUGAAAGUCGAUCCGCUCUGGAAAAUGUGAAUUUUCUUUUCCUGAUCCUGAAUCCGUCCAUGAAAUCGCCCAUCGUCAUGUUGGCUCGAAUCUGGAAAACAUAUACAAAGUGGCGUUGCUUGUUGACUGGCUGACAUCGUUCGAAUCUCGACACUGAUAGAUGCCCGAAGCUUUUUUGGGGACUGCCGUCCACCGGAUGCGACUGACGACGGACGCAAUGAAAGUGAAACCGAUAUCCUGAAAACGUGGAUUUACCUGGUGGGAGGCGAUUAUGGUCGAGUUCAACUACUGCACCGUUGGAUAUCCAUCGCCGAGGUUUGACUCGACGAUUCAACAGUGUCACUUUGACUCCACCACCUGAGAAUGUCAGCAUUUAUUACGCAAGUUCAGCCAAAAUAAGCAAGGCUGCGAAAAUAGUAUGCUAUCCAUAUUCUCGGCUGUUUACGACGAUGCUCACAACGUUGUCGCCCGCCAGCAGGACAUGUUGAGCCGACAAAUCUCCCUGCAACAACUGGGUGAAAAUAAUUCUCAAGGAGAUCACCGAAGCAUUUUUAAGGACCAUGCAAUCAAGUCGUGAGUGUAAACGACCGGACUAAGAGAGUCCGGUCGGAGUCGGGACUACGCACCAGCAGACAAGCAAGGUGGUGUUGCUUGCCAACUGGAUGGCAUCGUUCGUACCUCAACCCCCGAAGCUUCUUUUGGAUCUGCCGUCCACCGGAUGCGACUGACGACGGACGCAAUGAAAGUGAAACCGAUAUCCUGAAAACGUGAAUUUACCUGGUGGGAGGCGAUUAUGGUCGAGUUCAACUACUGCACCGUUGGAUAUCCAUCGCGAAGAUUAAACGACGGGCAGCCGGGCUCAGCACGGCAAUCUAUUUCGAGUCGAUUGCCAAGUUCCACUCCACGAGUUAACAGUGUCGCUUUGACUCCACCACCUGUCACAAUGUCAACAUUUAUUUCACGCAAGGUCAACCCCGUUUGAUGUUGCAUCCACCGGUGUCGAGGAUCGAAGGUGUUUACGAAGAUGACCUUCAUUCAGUUUCCCACCAGACAUCUCUAAUUGGACCCCACCAUCACCAAAGUACCUCAUCUGAUUUAAUUCUCUGCAAAUGAAACCUGGAAAUGCUCUGCGACA
Molecule: long non-coding RNA, 1339 nt
Organism: Daphnia pulicaria
Lineage: Eukaryota; Metazoa; Arthropoda; Branchiopoda; Diplostraca; Daphniidae
Exons: 10
Source: RefSeq, a predicted model, not a curated record